UGGGGAAUAUUGGACAAUGGGCGAAAGCCUGAUCCAGCAAUGCCGCGUGAGUGAUGAAGGCCUUAGGGUUGUAAAGCUCUUUUACCCGGGAUGAUAAUGACAGUACCGGGAGAAUAAGCCCCGGCUAACUCCGUGCCAGCAGCCGCGGUAAUACGGAGGGGGCUAGCGUUGUUCGGAAUUACUGGGCGUAAAGCUCACGUAGGCGGCUUUGUAAGUUAGAGGUGAAAGCCCGGGGCUCAACUCCGGAAUUGCCUUUAAGACUGCAUCGCUAGAAUUGUGGAGAGGUAAGUGGAAUUCCGAGUGUAGAGGUGAAAUUCGUAGAUAUUCGGAAGAACACCAGUGGCGAAGGCGACUUACUGGACACAUAUUGACGCUGAGGUGCGAAAGCGUGGGGAGCAAACAGG
Molecule: ribosomal RNA, 404 nt
Filed under: bacterium
Lineage: Bacteria
Description: partial 16S ribosomal RNA
Rfam family: Bacterial small subunit ribosomal RNA
Source: RNAcentral